Molecule: ribosomal RNA, 254 nt
Filed under: uncultured bacterium
Lineage: Bacteria
Description: partial 16S ribosomal RNA
Rfam family: Bacterial small subunit ribosomal RNA
Source: RNAcentral
UACAGAGGGGGCAAGCGUUUGUUCGGAAUUACUGGGCGUAAAGGGCGCGUAGGCGGCCUUCUAAGUCGAACGUGAAAUCCCCGGGCUCAACCCGGGAACUGCGUCCGAUACUGGAAGGCUUGAAUCCGGGAGAGGGAUGCGGAAUUCCAGGUGUAGCGGUGAAAUGCGUAGAUAUCAGGAGGAACACCGGCGGUGUAGACGGCUUUCUGGACCGUAGCUGACGCUGAGACACGAAAGCGUGGGUAGCAAACAGG